AUGAACGCUGGCGGCGUGCCUAAUACAUGCAAGUCGCGCGAACAGACGAGGAGCUUGCUCCUCUGACGUUAGCGGCGGACGGGUGAGUAACACGUGGAUAACCUACCUAUAAGACUGGGAUAACUUCGGGAAACCGGAGCUAAUACCGGAUAAUAUAUUGAACCGCAUGGUUCAAUAGUGAAAGACGGUUUUGCUGUCACUUAUAGAUGGAUCCGCGCCGCAUUAGCUAGUUGGUAAGGUAACGGCUUACCAAGGCAACGAUGCGUAGCCGACCUGAGAGGGUGAUCGGCCACACUGGAACUGAGACACGGUCCAGACUCCUACGGGAGGCAGCAGUAGGGAAUCUUCCGCAAUGGGCGAAAGCUUGACGGAGCAACGCCGCGUGAGUGAUGAAGGUCUUCGGAUCGUAAAACUCUGUUAUUAGGGAAGAACAAAUGUGUAAGUAACUAUGCACGUCUUGACGGUACCUAAUCAGAAAGCCACGGCUAGCUACGUG
RNAcentral lists this ribosomal RNA (496 nucleotides) under uncultured bacterium. Its description in RNAcentral is "partial 16S ribosomal RNA". It matches the Rfam family "Bacterial small subunit ribosomal RNA", at positions 29 to 507 of the family's 1533-position model. The record is from RNAcentral.